Molecule: long non-coding RNA, 397 nt
Filed under: Rhinopithecus bieti (black snub-nosed monkey)
Lineage: Eukaryota; Metazoa; Chordata; Mammalia; Primates; Cercopithecidae
Description: lncRNA (ENSRBIG00000046109.1)
Source: RNAcentral
AGGAUUAAAUGGGCUGGCAUUCAUAAGGCUCCUAGGACCUGCUUGGUGCUUGAACAGAAGUCAAAUGUGCUAAUUCGUGGUUUACAUGGAAUACCUCCAUUCCUGCCUGUACUCCUGUCUCCACCUGCUGCCACUGGAAGGGUUGCUUGGAGCUUUGCCAUAAUCUUUACCUUCAGCCAGGGAGAAAGGAGAAGGCUGCCCAAGGCAGGGAGUGCUUGGGGGAGCAUCCUGCAGGAAUGCGCUCUGUGGACUUUGCUCAGUUCAGACCAACAGGUGUUCAUCGCAUUCCAGGCCUGUUUGAUUCCAGGAAUGCACAGGUGAGUCUUGACAGUUCAAUACUGUGGAGGGAUCUGGAGAACGCCAAGUGACUGUGGUGAUGGGAAGGUCAUGAAAACCA